GAGGAUUUUGGGGAUUUUUGGGAAUUUUUUGGGGGGAAUUUUGGGAAUUUUUGUGAAUUUUUUGGGGGGAAUUUUGGCCGUUUUUGGGGUGAUUUUGUGGGGAUUUUUGGCCAUCCCAGAAUUUAAAUGAAUUUUAACCCUUCCGUGGCCGGGAAUCCCGGGGGAAUCCCUGGAAUUCCGGGAAUUCCGAGCCAUUCCCAAAGCUUUUCCCGGUUUUUCCCCCCAGGUCUCGGCCCGGGAGCGCCGGGAGCGGCUCCAGGAGAAAUCGCGGCUGAGCCGGAGCCUCCUCCCGCUGCUGCCCCAGCUCCUGGAAAAGUUCUCGGCCGAGCCCGAGGCGGUGGCGGCGCUGCUGGAGCUGCUCCCGCACCUGGAGCUCGGAAUGUUCCGGACGGCGCGGCUCGACAAGGUCCUGGAUCGGGUUCUGGAGCGGAUCCUGGAGCUGUUCCGCUGCCACUCGGAGCCGGUUCCGGUUCCCCUGAUCCCAUCCCAGUCUAUCCCAGUUUAUCCCAGUUUAUCCCAGUUUAUCCCAGUCCAUCCCAGUCCAUCCCAGUUUCCAUUCCCA
This 562-nucleotide long non-coding RNA is filed under the name Cyanistes caeruleus (blue tit). RNAcentral's name for it is "lncRNA (ENSCCEG00000004225.1)". The record is from RNAcentral. Lineage: Eukaryota; Metazoa; Chordata; Aves; Passeriformes; Paridae.